UAAGAAAUCUGGCAGCAGUUUGAUAGAAAGACAUUAUAACUGACUACAUCCACUGUAUAGAAUGUUAAUCUGCAAUAGUAUUGACUCCUGCGAAUUGACUCCUGGGAAUCUCGACUGCAUCAUUUCUGGUAGUGGGGGACUGCAUUCACGCUCUUCUCUG
Molecule: small nuclear RNA, 160 nt
Filed under: Paramormyrops kingsleyae
Lineage: Eukaryota; Metazoa; Chordata; Actinopteri; Osteoglossiformes; Mormyridae
Description: U1 spliceosomal RNA (ENSPKIG00000007610.1)
Source: RNAcentral